GGCGUGAGUCGGGAUACAAUAAGCGACGCCAUGACAGUGCUACGAAAAGACACACAUUAACGCUUACGCUAUUCGGUAGCCAACGGCCAAUUAAUGUUUCGGCAGUGUAGAAAAAACGGUAUUUCUCCGCCAUGUUUUAGCGUGAUCUCAAAAGCUGCUGUUUGCAAUAAUUUAGUACAACUAUUGCCAACUUUAAUGGCUACCGUUUUAAAAACAUGUCAUAUUUUGGACGUUUUAACGAAAUAGUUUUAAUUUGUUAUCUGUCUUUUUUAGUUUUUUUAACGUUCUCGUGUAAUUAUAAUAAUUUAAACUAGAGUUAAUAUUUUUAAGUUAUAAUGCGAGGAUAACAUAAUAGAUACAGAUAAAUUUCAGAAAAUCAGCAAAUUAGUAGAGGUAAAUCCUAGUUAUAUUGGAUAUCUUUUAUUGAUAUUUAUAUUGCAUAUGAGAAAGCAGUCACUAAUGAACAUAAUUAGAAGUUCUAAAUAUAUUUUAUUGUAUAAUAGAAGCUAAUGAUAUAUUGAUGAUAAAUAUUGAUUUAAAUUAAUCAAAUAAAGUGGAUUUAUACUUCAUGAAAUUUGGAAAUAUAAAAUCUAGUGAUCAAUACUAAGUAAUGAAAAAGAGAAGCUAAUAAGACAACUAAAAAUAUUUCAAAAAAUCCACAAAUGGACAAGUUUUAUUAAAGUCUUAUCUUUAAAUUAAUUUAAGUGUUAUAUUAUGUACCUACAAAUGAAUUUGAUAAUGGGGAAUGAAGCAAUUUAUGAAUAAUGUAAAAAAUAAGACAAGUGGAGUAUGAAAUAAUGGUUGGUUAAGGAACAUUACCUCAAGAACAGGAAACAGUAACUGAAACUAUGUUCUUCCACAUUUAAUCUUAAUAAGUUCAGCAGUUUGAAUGUUAAUGAGAUAUUAUUAUAAACAAACUGCAUUUGUAGAUUUUGGGAAGAAUUAUAUCUUUACAAUAACGAUUAUUAUUUACAAUUGUUGUGUCAAGGAAACAAUCACUAUUUUUAUUAUCGCCCAGUAUGUAUUCAUAGUAACUGUAGGUAUCAUAGUAAUUUUAUGAAAUCAUCACAACAUCUAAUGUUAGGUUUUAUGAAUUGAACAUUUUUUUUAUAUAACAGCACACCAACAAGAUAUUGACAUUGCUGCAAAUUAACACUUACAUUUAUUAGUUAAUUAUCUACAUAUAUAAAUAUGAAUACAUCUACAUUAGGUAGUAAUGCAUUGAAUUUGGUGCACCUGUGUAUAUUCAGUAGUAAUUUGGUGCCUUAUUUUAAUAAAAAAUAACCAUAACUGAAACAUUUUUAUUUUGCUACCUGUUUGUUUAAUAUUCCUUACUAUUAGUAGGUACGGGUCAUUCAUAUAUGCAUUAUUUGUAUAUUCUUGUAAAAUAAACUAAUAUGGUUAACCACUUUAAUGGCUUUUCCUACUAAAUAAGACAUAGGUAAAUUACCAAAAAUAAAACUAAUACAUAACAUA
Long non-coding RNA from Pieris napi, 1476 nucleotides. RefSeq lists it as uncharacterized. The record is from RefSeq and is a predicted model, not a curated record. The transcript is spliced from 3 exons. NCBI's taxonomy places the organism in Eukaryota, Metazoa, Arthropoda, Insecta, Lepidoptera, Pieridae.